Molecule: ribosomal RNA, 775 nt
Filed under: uncultured Neocallimastigales
Lineage: Eukaryota; Fungi; Neocallimastigomycota; Neocallimastigomycetes; Neocallimastigales
Description: partial large subunit ribosomal RNA
Rfam family: Eukaryotic large subunit ribosomal RNA
Source: RNAcentral
CGCAUCUGUGCAUGCAGCAUAUCAAUAAGCGGAGGAAAAGAAACUAACAAGGAUUCCCCUAGUAACGGCGAGUGAAGCGGGAAGAGCUCAAAUUUGAAAUCUUAAAGGGUUUCCCUUUACGAAUUGUAGUUUAAAGAAGUGUUUUCUGUUGAGGUUUUGGUAAAAGUUCUUUGGAAUAGGACAUCAUAGAGGGUGAGAAUCCCGUAUUUGACCUUUACUUUCAACUCUGUGAUACACUUUCAAAGAGUCGGAUUGUUUGGGAAUGCAGUCCAAAAUGGGUGGUAAAUUUCAUCUAAAGCUAAAUAUUGGCGAGAGACCGAUAGCGAACAAGUACCGUGAGGGAAAGAUGAAAAGAACUUUGAAAAGAGAGUUAAACAGUACGUGAAAUUGUCAAAAGGGAAGCGUUUGACACCAGUGUUGUUUUUUCUGAAAAUCGAUUAAAGAACUGUUUAUGCUAAGCUGUUUAGACUUUAUCAGCUAACUGUUUAGUUUUGAGCUUUUCUUUAAUGCACUUUUCAGUUAACAAGUCAACAUCAAUUUCUUUUGCUGUAAAAAAGCUUGAGGAAGGUGGCUUGAGAUUCGUCUUAAGUGUUUAUAGCCUCUUGCCUAUGCAGUCGGAGAGAUUGAGGUCUGCAGCGUAGAUCCUUCGGGGCUAAAUGCAUUUGUGCUAAGUUAUAGCAUUUUAUAGACAACUUGUUGACUAUGAUUUGUCUUGUAGCUUACUCGCUUAUGUUAUUUUACCUACGCUUAGGAUGUUGAACGCGCACAGAGUCUC